Molecule: ribosomal RNA, 353 nt
Filed under: Vibrio alginolyticus
Lineage: Bacteria; Pseudomonadati; Pseudomonadota; Gammaproteobacteria; Vibrionales; Vibrionaceae
Description: bacterial LSU rRNA
Rfam family: Bacterial large subunit ribosomal RNA
Source: RNAcentral
GUCCAACGUUAAUCGGGGCAGGGUAAGUCGACCCCUAAGGCGAGGCCGAAAGGCGUAGUCGAUGGGAAACGGGUUAAUAUUCCCGUACUUCUUACAAUUGCGAUGGGGGGACGGAGAAGGCUAGGUGGGCCUGGCGACGGUUGUCCAGGUUCAAGUGCGUAGGCUGAGAAAUUAGGUAAAUCCGGUUUCUCUUAAGGCUGAGACACGACGUCGAGCAUCUACGGGUGUGAAGUCAUUGAUGCCAUGCUUCCAGGAAAAGCCUCUAAGCUUCAGAUUGUAAGGAAUCGUACCCCAAACCGACACAGGUGGUCGGGUAGAGAAUACCAAGGCGCUUGAGAGAACUCGGGUGAAGG